This 497-nucleotide ribosomal RNA is filed under the name uncultured bacterium. RNAcentral's name for it is "partial 16S ribosomal RNA". It matches the Rfam family "Bacterial small subunit ribosomal RNA", at positions 28 to 507 of the family's 1533-position model. The record is from RNAcentral.
GAUGAACGCUGGCGGCGUGCCUAAUACAUGCAAGUCGAGCGAACAGACGAGGAGCUUGCUCCUCUGACGUUAGCGGCGGACGGGUGAGUAACACGUGGAUAACCUACCUAUAAGACUGGGAUAACUUCGGGAAACCGGAGCUAAUACCGGAUAAUAUAUUGAACCGCAUGGUUCAAUAGUGAAAGACGGUUUUGCUGUCACUUAUAGAUGGAUCCGCGCCGCAUUAGCUAGUUGGUAAGGUAACGGCUUACCAAGGCGACGAUGCGUAGCCGACCUGAGAGGGGGAUCGGCCACAUGGGAACUGAGACACGGUCCAGACUCCUACGGGAGGGAGCAGUAGGGAAUCUUCCGCAAUGGGCGAAAGCAUGACGGAGCAACGCCGCGUGAGUGAUGAAGGUCUUCGGAUCGUAAAACUCUGUUAUUAGGGAAGAACAAAUGUGUAAGUAACUAUGCACGUCUUGACGGUACCUAAUCAGAAAGCCACGGCUAACUACGUG